UACGUAGGUGGCAAGCGUUAUCCGGAAUUAUUGGGCGUAAAGGGCGCGUAGGCGGUCUUGCAAGUCUAUGGUUAAAAUUCGGGGCUUAACCCCGUCUUGCCAUAGAAACUGUAAGACUUGAGUACAGGAGAGGUUAGUGAAAUUCCAUGGGUAGCGGUAAAAUGCGUAGAUAUAUGGAGGAACACCAGGGGCGAAAGCAGCUAACUGGCCUGUAACUGACGCUAAGGCGCGAAAGCGUGGGGAGCAAAUAGG
This 252-nucleotide ribosomal RNA is filed under the name uncultured bacterium. RNAcentral describes it as "partial 16S ribosomal RNA". It matches the Rfam family "Bacterial small subunit ribosomal RNA", at positions 524 to 776 of the family's 1533-position model. The record is from RNAcentral.